UUAUGUGGUUUCUUUCCAUAUAAUUCUGGGAUGGCUAGGGAAAUAAUGCUCGUAUCCAAAUACACAUUUAUGUUUCAGGCAGAAGCUGAGAUGCAAGACGAUGUGAUACCAAAUUAGGUCCUGUGCGAUGUAUUACUGGAGAAAUAGCCAUGCCACUGGGAUAAGUCACAGGCCAGCUGGAGAGGUAGAUGCCCAAAACAGUCAUCUUUGCUUCUUUGUGACCGAUUCUUAUGCCUGGGAAAAUGAACUGCAGUCCUGUUGUUCCUGUUUGAAGUCAAUAGGUGCUCUUACUGCACAAAAAGUCCAGUCUUGAAUGUUAUGCAACCAAAUUAGGCUUCCACCUGCCCAGUCCUCAAGAAAACCUGAACAGUUGGUGAUGAUGGGAAGAGGCCUCAUUAU
Long non-coding RNA from Harpia harpyja (harpy eagle), 399 nucleotides. RefSeq lists it as uncharacterized. The record is from RefSeq and is a predicted model, not a curated record. NCBI's taxonomy places the organism in Eukaryota, Metazoa, Chordata, Aves, Accipitriformes, Accipitridae. The transcript has 3 exons.